This 253-nucleotide ribosomal RNA is filed under the name uncultured bacterium. RNAcentral's name for it is "partial 16S ribosomal RNA". It matches the Rfam family "Bacterial small subunit ribosomal RNA", at positions 524 to 776 of the family's 1533-position model. The record is from RNAcentral.
UACAGAGGGGGCAAGCGUUGUUCGGAAUUACUGGGCGUAAAGGGCGCGUAGGCGGCCUGCUAAGUCGAACGUGAAAUCCCCGGGCUCAACCCGGGAACUGCGUCCGAUACUGGCAGGCUUGAAUUCGGGAGAGGGAUGCGGAAUUCCAGGUGUAGCGGUGAAAUUCGUAGAUAUCGGGAGGAACACCAGUGGCGAAGGCGGCGACCUGGACGGACAUUGACGCUGAGACGCGAAAGCGUGGGGAGCAAACAGG